GGCUGGGCUGUGCUGGGCUUCAGCUCCAUCCCAGAAUGGGGUCAAACCACAGCACAGCUGGGCCUGCAUGGCCUGGAGUGUGAAACCCCUCCUGUAUGUAUAUAUUUUUCUAAAAAUCCACGGAGCUGGUUUAUCAUUUAACUGUACUCUGUAAUCAGCAAAUGUAGGUGUUUGUCUUAGAAGUGAAUUGCUGUUUUCAGCUCUGAUGAAGAUCUGACUAUUUUGGUUAUUUUUUAGAUGACAGCAUUUAAGUGUUGAUGGAUCAUCUCCAAUGAGAAUUCUUCUCUUCAGGGAAGCCAGUGAAGUGAUCUGUUCUUUGACGUUGUGUUGCUUUAGACUACAUUGUCACCUGCUUCUUCAGGAACCUCGCUAAAGAAGACAAUAAGACCCUCACAGGUAGCGACAUUUCACAGGAUGGACAGAGAUCAUUCCACUUCAUGCAGCAGAACCCAGAAGUUCUACAGCAGGUCACUCAGAACAUGCUGGAGAGAUGUGACCAAAGCUCGGCUCUGCAAGGGGACCUCCAAUCCCAAGGGCGUGGAUAUGAUUUGGCAAGGACUUUGGGAACAGAGCACUGAUGGAUAAACCAUCUCAGAAAGUGCUGGGACCUUGUUAUAUUGUUUGAGAAAAAGUUUAACCUUGUGAAAGCUAUUUUAAAAGAUAUUUUCUAUAUUUUUAUAUCUCUAGCCUAAAUGUGAGAAUUUAUAAUUGUGAAAACAAUGGAAAAUCAGCCUUAGUUUGAAGAAUGUUUUCAGCUUUCCUUAUCAAAAUUUAUAAUCCUGUUUUCGCUUUAUGAAACAGGGUAGAAACAGUGUAUAACCAAAGAACAAAAGGAUAUGCAUUCCUUCUGAAUUGGUGUCAGUUAAUGAUUCUCAGUUCUGUACACAAUAGUAAUAAUAUGUCAUCAUUCAAACCUGCAGGCUCACUCUUGAGAACAUAUUUGUUUGAAAAUGAGAUGAAAGCCAGUACAAACUUUAUAUUACAUCUUUUUUAACUAAUAAAAUUAUUAUUUUGCUACA
Molecule: long non-coding RNA, 1019 nt
Filed under: Cyanistes caeruleus (blue tit)
Lineage: Eukaryota; Metazoa; Chordata; Aves; Passeriformes; Paridae
Description: lncRNA (ENSCCEG00000013459.1)
Source: RNAcentral